GGUUCUCAACCUUUUUUGGGCCAGCGCCCCCCUACCCAUUAUUCAGGUACCUCACCGCCCCCAUCAAAUAAAAAAUCUUCUAAUAAUCU
Sinocyclocheilus grahami is the source of this 89-nucleotide long non-coding RNA. RefSeq lists it as uncharacterized. The transcript has 3 exons. The record is from RefSeq and is a predicted model, not a curated record. NCBI's taxonomy places the organism in Eukaryota, Metazoa, Chordata, Actinopteri, Cypriniformes, Cyprinidae.